UUUAACAACUCUUUUUCUUUCCUUGUUCGUUGCGUGCGGAAAAGUUAAAGAGGAUGUUUCGCGUCGGGGACUGUGAAAAUAUGUAACAAAUUCAGACUUCUGGCAAAGAUCUGUAACAAUUAUCGAAAGACUGGCAAUGAUGAAUCUGUCCAUUGUUUAGAGCGGAAUGGCAGCACGCCCCUAUGACAGAAUGCAGAGGAUUGUCGGCUGCCUGUAAAAAUUGCCUGUAAGCUCAGGAAGGUUGGAUCAGUGAACAAAGAGUUCUAAUCAAUUCGUCAUUUUGGAAGAAAGAUGGAACGAGUUUCCUCGUCUGACGAAAGACUGUUUAAUCACGUGAUUUUUCAUAUCCUCAAAGACAGUUGCUUCUUUUAGUUAAUUAAUUGACACUAUAAACAAUGGAUAUGAAAACAUCAUUAAUUACAAAUAAAAAGGGUCAAUUGA
Molecule: long non-coding RNA, 441 nt
Organism: Parasteatoda tepidariorum (common house spider)
Lineage: Eukaryota; Metazoa; Arthropoda; Arachnida; Araneae; Theridiidae
Source: RefSeq, a predicted model, not a curated record